Non-coding RNA from Cinara cedri, 680 nucleotides. Lineage: Eukaryota; Metazoa; Arthropoda; Insecta; Hemiptera; Aphididae. The record is from the annotation of a GenBank genome assembly.
CGGCCGAGAUGCUCAGACGUCUCUCUCAUGGCUAUUGUCACAACUCCGUCGGUCAAGUUAGGUUUGUCAAUUUCGUCCACGUUUUAGCAAUCGACACUGAAUAAAACGGCACACAUUGGGAAAUACUUCAUACAGAAUAGUUGUUGCGUUGUGUUUAUUUAAGUAUUGUAAUACUUAUAAAUAUGGGGCAAUUCGAAUAUAAAAAACUUGACUGGAAUACAAAUUCAAUGUUCCGAUAAUCGACAACAGGGAGAGAAGAUUAUAAAAUAUACUUUAUCUGUGUAUAGUUUUAACUGCUUACCUAUUAUAUAAACUGUAUAGAACUCCUGGAGGACGAAGCAAACAAAGAGAAUAUUACGAUUACACAAAAAUGUUUUAUCAAAGCGGGUGAAACGUUUUUUUCUAGAUCCGGGACUAGUUUCUCCACUAUCUCGAAGGACGUAAAUAUCGAGGACACUGGUUUGAUCAAAACUAACAAUGUUAUUCCCCAGAUUCUAAGGUCCAACAUAAACAAUAAACUAUUUCCGUAUACAUUAAAACAAAUAGACCCUCUCUCGUAUACGUAACAUCUGCGGGAAAACUAGAAUUGGAAGAAAUAAAUACAAGAAAAAGAAAAAUUGAUUAUUUGUCAAAUACAAUCUCCAUUAAAGAGGAGCAUAUGCAUUUGUUAGAAAAAGCAC